UAGCGUUGUUCGGAAUUACUGGGCGUAAAGUGCACGUAGGCGGCUUUGCAAGUUAGAGGUGAAAGCCCGGGGCUCAACUCCGGAAUUGCCUUUAAAACUGCAUCGCUAGAAUUGUGGAGAGGUAAGUGGAAUUCCGAGUGUAGAGGUGAAAUUCGUAGAUAUUCGGAAGAACACCAGUGGCGAAGGCGGGUCUCUGGGCCGUAACUGACGCUGAGGAGCGAAAGCGUGGGGAGCAAACAGG
RNAcentral lists this ribosomal RNA (241 nucleotides) under uncultured bacterium. RNAcentral's name for it is "partial 16S ribosomal RNA". It matches the Rfam family "Bacterial small subunit ribosomal RNA", at positions 536 to 776 of the family's 1533-position model. The record is from RNAcentral.